GCGAGGAAAGGCGGGGGGUGAUAAGUGGCAACCUCCUCAAUCGAUCCAAGAUACGUUGUCGGAUCGAAGUUUGGAGAAAUUAAUGAAUUUUGAUAAAAUG
This 100-nucleotide non-coding RNA is filed under the name Skeletonema menzelii. The record is from RNAcentral. Lineage: Eukaryota; Bacillariophyta; Thalassiosirophyceae; Thalassiosirales; Thalassiosiraceae.